AGAAUCAACGCUGGCGGCGUGCCUAACACAUGCAAGUCGAACGCGAAAGUCCCGCAAGGGAUAAGUAGAGUGGCAAACGGGUGAGUAACACGUGGGUGACCUGCCUUCGAGCGGGGGAUAACGUCCCGAAAGGGACGCUAAUACCGCAUGAUGUCCUGCCUUUGAAGAGGUGGAGACCAAAGCCGGGGACCGCAAGGCCUGGCACUCGAUGAGGGGCCCGCGUCUGAUUAGCUAGUUGGUGGGGUAAUGGCUCACCAAGGCAACGAUCAGUA
RNAcentral lists this ribosomal RNA (272 nucleotides) under uncultured bacterium. RNAcentral's name for it is "partial small subunit ribosomal RNA". It matches the Rfam family "Bacterial small subunit ribosomal RNA", at positions 26 to 285 of the family's 1533-position model. The record is from RNAcentral.